RNAcentral lists this unclassified non-coding RNA (3577 nucleotides) under Pocillopora damicornis (cauliflower coral). Its description in RNAcentral is "multidrug resistance protein 1-like, transcript variant X2". The record is from RNAcentral. Lineage: Eukaryota; Metazoa; Cnidaria; Anthozoa; Scleractinia; Pocilloporidae.
AACGUAGCAGAGAAAGCCACCUGACAAUCUUCGGCACCUGUAGGCCGCUUUUUACUUACGAAGACCACAUUGUUUUGCUUUGCGGGGUAAAAGAAAUUGUCAUGGAUGGAAUAGAAGGUGCUUACCGUCCGAGGAGUGAAUCAAAUGAAGUGAAAAAUUUGAAUGAUUUUGAAGUUAAGAUUGCUCCUGAUGCAAUGAAUGGUUCGCACUUCACAAACGGUAAAGCAAAUAUGGCCGUCGAAGUCGACGAAGGAGCUGAAAACAAGGGUGAAAGUGCUGAUAAAGAUAAAAAGAGAAAGAAAGAGAAGGAAGAAAAACCACCAGCUGUACCAUUACUCAAACUUUUUCGAUUUAGUGAUAAAGUAGAUGUUCUGCUCAUGGUAUUGGGAACCAUAUCAUCAAUUGGCCAUGGUGCAGCUGUUCCUCUACAGUUCAUUAUCUUUGGUGACCUUAUCAACAGCUUCAUUAAUUUUGACAAAUUAAAAUCAGAUACCAACACAAAGCCAUUUGAUCUUGAAGGAGAGAUGACACAAUUUGCCUUGUACUAUGUCUAUUUAGCUAUUGGAAACAUGGUUGUUGCGUAUGGUCAGAUGGCAUUUUGGUCUCUUACUGCUACUCGACAAGUGAAAAAAAUGCGUUUAGCUUUCUUUCAAUCUGUCCUUAAGCAAGACAUAGGUUGGUUUGACACAACUGAUCCAGGAGAACUCAACAGUAGGCUCACUGAAGACCUCGACAAAGUAAAUGAUGGCAUCGGUCAGAAAAUUGGUAUGUUCCUUCAAGCCAUCACAAUAGUUCUUGUUGGCUUCAUUAUGGGAUUUGUUUAUGGUUGGAAAUUAACCCUUGUAAUAAUUGCUGUCAGCCCUCUUCUGGUUAUUGCAGGUGGACUUAUGGCAAAGAUGUUGUCUUCGAUUACAACCAAGGAGCUUGACGCUUAUGCUAAAGCUGGAAGCAUAGCAGAAGAGGUACUUUCAUCAAUCAGAACUGUAGCUGCCUUUGGAGGGGAGAGGAAAGAAAUUGAAAGAUAUUCAUCGCAUUUGGGAGAAGCCCGAGACUUUGGCACUAAGAAAGGUCUCAUGUCUGGUUUUGGCAUGGGCUUUUUUCAAGUCAUCAUGUUUGGCAGUUAUGCCUUGGCUUUUUGGUAUGGUGCAAAGUUAAUCAUUGAUGGAGAAAUGAAUGGAGGCGACCUGCUCAUUGUGUUCUUUUCAGUUAUGUUUGGAGCUAUGCAGCUUGGUCAAGCUGGUCCAAACUUUGAGUCCAUAGCAACAGCACAAGGAGCAGCAUAUAAAGUUUUUCUUGUUAUUGACAGGAUUCCUCCAAUUGACUCAAGUUCUGCUGAUGGUGAAGUGCUAGAUCACAGUUCUUUCAAGGGAAACAUACUUUUUAAGAACAUUGAAUUUUCCUAUCCAUCGAGACCAGAUAUAAAGACUUUAAAUGGCUUAGACCUGACUGUUAAAAGUGGACAGACUGUGGCAUUGGUGGGUGAGAGUGGCUGUGGAAAGAGUACAGUAGUGAAGCUUUUACAGAGGUUCUAUGACCCAAGUGGUGGUGAGGUAACUGUUGAUGGCUAUGACAUUCGCAAUUUGAACCUAAAGUGGUUACGUGAGCAAAUUGGUGUUGUGAGUCAAGAGCCAAUUCUUUUUGCCACCACAAUAGCUGAGAACAUCAGGUAUGGUAAAGAUGGUGUGACACAGGAGGAUAUUGAAAGAGCAACAAAGAUGGCAAAUGCCCAUGACUUCAUUCAAAGACUCCCACAAGGCUAUGAUACUCUUGUUGGUGAACGUGGAACUCAACUCAGUGGAGGACAGAAGCAGCGUAUUGCAAUUGCACGAGCUCUGGUAAAAGAUCCAAGGAUUUUGUUGUUAGAUGAAGCAACAUCAGCACUGGACAGUGAAAGUGAAUCGAUUGUACAAGCUGCUUUGGAUCAAGCUCGUCAGGGUCGAACAACCAUUGUGAUUGCUCAUCGUUUGUCAACAGUUCAGAAUGCAGAUGUUAUAGCUGCCAUACAGGGUGGUGUGGUGGUUGAGAAAGGAAGCCAUGAUGAACUCAUGCAGACUGAUGGAGUUUAUCACCAACUUGUCACAUUACAGACUUUUGAGGAGGACAAAGAGGACAAAGAAAUUGGUGAUAAUGAUAAUGAAACAGAGGACAUUGAGGAUAAAGAACAGACAGCAGCAGUGAACUUUAUGCGCAGCAUGUCCCAUAUGUCGAGUGACAGUGAGCAUGAAGACACUGAGCUUGAGAGGAAGCUCUCAAGAAGAGCAUCACAAAGAUUGUCUGCCAAGAGGAGGGGCAGUUCUGCAUUUGAUCGGCCAGCCUCUGCGAAGUCUGUGGGUAAGAAUGACAAAGAUGAUAAAGAGAAAAUUUUGGAGGAGGAAGUGGAGCCAGCUCCUGUGAUGCGUAUUAUAAAGUUAAACAAAACAGAAUGGCCAUAUUUGGUAUUAGGAAGUGUAGCCGGGGCCAUAAAUGGACUGUUCCCAUUUGCCUUUGCAUUGGUUCUGUCUGAAAUUCUUGAGGUUUUCACUUUACACGAUAAAGGUGAAAUGAAGAAGCAGUCGGAAUUCUGGUCACUCAUGUUUCUCGCCAUUGGUGUUGCAAGUUUUGUUGCAAAUGUUAUACAGAGUUUUAUGUUCGCAAAGUCAGGCGAACUGUUAACUUUACGCCUGAGAAAAAUGGCAUUUGAGGCCAUCCUAAGACAGGAUAUGUCGUACUUUGAUGAUCCGCAGCACAGUACUGGGGCAUUGACCACAGCAUUGGGAACACACGCCUCGGCUGUUCAAGGGGCCGCAGGUUCUAGACUCGGCACUAUUGCAAUGUCUUUGAGCACAGCUAUUGCCUGCCUUGUGUAUGCUUUUAUUAAUGGAUGGAAGCUGACACUCGUUGUUCUGGCGUUCAUCCCGAUACUGGUGGUUGCCAGUGCAAUUCAGAUGAGAGUGUUUGCCGGAGGUAAAGUUUCUAGUGAUGGUGAAGACGAUUUUGCUCAAUCUGGCAAGAUCGCAGUUGAAACUAUAGAAAAUAUCAGAACUGUGGCUUCACUGGGCAGGGAAACCACCUUCUAUAACGAUUACAGUCGAGCUUUGAUCGGCCCCUACAAAAAGGCAAUGAAACGGGCUCACUUACAAGGGGCUUCAUUUGGUUUAUCAGAGGCGUUCAUGUUCUUUGCUAAUGCAGUCGCUUUCAGAUAUGGGGGGUAUCUUGUGGUAAAAAGAGAGAUGGACAUGGAUGAAGUUAUGAAAAUUCUAUGGUGGGAACAAUCCAGUUACGCAGCGUACGUUUCCGUUAUCCGACGCGACAAAAUGUCAAAGUACUACGCGGAUUAACACUGUCAAUUCAGAGAGGACAAAAACUUGCUCUUGUUGGCUCCAGUGGCUGUGGUAAAAGUACAGUUGUUUCCCUCUUGGAGAGAUUUUACGAUGCUGAGGACGGAGAAGUGGCCAUCGACGGUAACAAUGUCCGAACUCUGAACAUUCAGUGGCUGCGCUCUCAUAUUGGUAUUGUGUCACAGGAGCCCAUAUUGUUUGGCUGCAGUAUCGCCGAUAAUAUCGCGUAUGGUGACAACUCCCGUCAAGUCAGUCAGGAU